Molecule: non-coding RNA, 267 nt
Organism: Drosophila melanogaster (fruit fly)
Lineage: Eukaryota; Metazoa; Arthropoda; Insecta; Diptera; Drosophilidae
Source: Ensembl
CGGGGGCUUAAUUUCACACGGUUCGAUUGCGUGCGGGCACUUGAUAAACGCACUGAUUGCUGUCGAAAGAUUCGCGCUUGUUUUUCAACCAUCAAUUGGCGUUGCAACGAUGCGUUUAUCCUGUUUAUUUUGUACAAAAAACUUCCCGGUGUUGCCAGACGUCCGCGGCCCGAAAUUCCCUAAAUUUCCCGACAUAUUUGUGGUUACCAGGGCUGCGAAGUAGCCUGUAUUGGAAAUUUGGCUCGAGCAGAGUUGUCAAUUGUUUGG